CCUACGGGAGGCAGCAGUGAGGAAUAUUGGACAAUGGGCGCAAGCCUGAUCCAGCCAUGCCGCGUGCAGGAAGAAGCAUCUAUGGUGUGUAAACUGCUUUUGUACAGGAAGAAACACUCCCUCGUGAGGGAGCUUGACGGUACUGUAAGAAUAAGGACCGGCUAACUCCGUGCCAGCAGCCGCGGUAAUACGGAGGGUCCGAGCGUUAUCCGGAAUCAUUGGGUUUAAAGGGUCCGUAGGCGGUUUAAUAAGUCAGUGGUGAAAUCUGGUCGCUCAACGAUCAAACGGCCAUUGAUACUGUUAGACUUGAAUUAUAAGGAAGUAACUAGAAUAUGUAGUGUAGCGGUGAAAUGCUUAGAUAUUACAUGGAAUACCAAUUGCGAAGGCAGGUUACUACUUAUGGAUUGACGCUGAUGGACGAAAGCGUGGGGAGCGAACAGGAUUAGAUACCUGGUAGUCCACGCCGUAAACGAUGGAUACUAGCUGUUCGGAGCAAUCUGAGUGGCUAAGCGAAAGUGAUAAAGUAUCCCACCUGGGGAGUAACGUUCGCAAGAAUGAAACUUAAAUGAAUUGAGG
Molecule: ribosomal RNA, 576 nt
Filed under: uncultured bacterium
Lineage: Bacteria
Description: bacterial SSU rRNA
Rfam family: Bacterial small subunit ribosomal RNA
Source: RNAcentral